This 244-nucleotide unclassified non-coding RNA is filed under the name Hevea brasiliensis (rubber tree). Lineage: Eukaryota; Viridiplantae; Streptophyta; Magnoliopsida; Malpighiales; Euphorbiaceae. The record is from RNAcentral.
GAGGCCCAACUUGCGGUGGGUGCGAAGAACGGCGAGGGAGGUUAUAUGACCAUGGCAUUCAUUGGAUUCUUCCUCCAUCUUGGCCAAGACGUAGCCGACAAUGCGGCCGUUGUAGUCUUCGGCGACGUAGAGGAGCUGCGGCCAGGAGAGAAUAUGGUAGAAAUAAUACUUCAUCUGAUAGUUUUCCGGCAGGCAUAGCAGGUUACAGGCCUGCAUCGCUAGUAGGUCAUCUAUUGUCGCCUUC